RNAcentral lists this transfer RNA (74 nucleotides) under Deltaproteobacteria bacterium RIFCSPHIGHO2_02_FULL_40_28. RNAcentral describes it as "tRNA-Arg". It matches the Rfam family "tRNA". From Rfam's summary of the family: Transfer RNA (tRNA) molecules are approximately 80 nucleotides in length. Lineage: Bacteria; Deltaproteobacteria. The record is from RNAcentral. RNAcentral also lists the same sequence under 3 other names.
GCGCCCGUAGUUCAACUGAAUAGAGCAUCUGGCUUCGAACCAGAGGGUCGGCGGUUCGAAUCCGUCCGGGCGCA